AGCAGCCGCGGUAAUUCCAGCUCCAAUAGCGUAUAUUAAAGUUGUUGCAGUUAAAAAGCUCGUAGUUGAACUUCAGGCCUGUCCAGACGGUCCGCCUUAAUUGGUGUGUACUGUCCUUGGGUGGGUCCUACCUUCUGGCGAAGCGGCAUGGCCUUAAUUGGUUGUGUCGGGGAACCAGGACUUUUACUGUGAAAAAAUUAGGGUGUUCAAAGCAGGCAAAUAUGCUCGAAUACAUUAGCAUGGAAUAAUGGAAUAGGACGAUGGUUCUAUUUUGUUGGUUCUAGGACCGUUGUAAUGAUUAAUAGGGAUAGUUGGGGGCAUUAGUAUUCAAUUGUCAGAGGUGAAAUUCUUGGAUUUAUUGAAGACUAACUACUGCGAAAGCAUCUGCCAAGGAUGUUUUCAUUAAUCAAGAACGAAAGUUAGGGGAUCGAAGACGAUCAGAUACCGUCGUAGUCUUAACCAUAAACUAUGCCGA
Molecule: ribosomal RNA, 475 nt
Filed under: uncultured Paraglomus
Lineage: Eukaryota; Fungi; Glomeromycota; Glomeromycetes; Paraglomerales; Paraglomeraceae
Description: bacterial SSU rRNA
Rfam family: Eukaryotic small subunit ribosomal RNA
Source: RNAcentral